Arachis ipaensis is the source of this 164-nucleotide non-coding RNA. NCBI's taxonomy places the organism in Eukaryota, Viridiplantae, Streptophyta, Magnoliopsida, Fabales, Fabaceae. The record is from RefSeq and is a predicted model, not a curated record.
AGAACUUAACUGUAUAGGAUGUCAUAGGUUAGGUGGAAAGUUUAAGCUUAUCAAAGAUUCAAAUUUCAAGCUCACUUGACCAAAUAUGCAUCCUACCUUGACCCUAGCUCCAUUACAACCGAUGAAAAGACAUCAUGAUAAUUGUAUCCAUGCAUAAAAUAAUU